Molecule: long non-coding RNA, 419 nt
Organism: Mastomys coucha (southern multimammate mouse)
Lineage: Eukaryota; Metazoa; Chordata; Mammalia; Rodentia; Muridae
Exons: 2
Source: RefSeq, a predicted model, not a curated record
GCGCCAACUGGCGGGAGGGUUCGAGUUCGGCCUUUCCCAAACUUGGGCCACCGGGGCGGGAGCGUGGCCGUCCCCGCGGUGACGCGCGCGCUGGCGCGGCGUGUGAUUGGAGAGUCGGGCGGGGGCGGGACCGAAGGGACGCGGCAGGCGGCGGCGGUGCCGGGAGCCGGGGCCGGGAGUGAGGCGCAGCGGCCGCCGCGGCAACAAGUGCUGGAGCUGAGGCGAGCCGGAGCCGCCCAGACCCCGCCGGGCCGCCCGUCCGCGCAUUGCGCAUGGAGCGAGAGCGGCGGCGGUCGCGGGGCUGAGCCGCAAGCGCGGCUGGGACGUGGAUGCGGCCGCGGUCUCCCGCCCCGCCCCGCCGAGCUGGAGGUGUCCCUAGACAAGAUAUGAGAAAUGAGUGUGGGGCGUCGAAGAGUAAA